UACGGAGGAUCCGAGCGUUAUCCGGAAUCAUUGGGUUUAAAGGGUCCGUAGGCGGGUUAGUAAGUCAGUGGUGAAAUCCGGCAGCUUAACUGUCGAAUUACCGUUGAUACUGCUAAUCUUGAAUUACUGUGAAGUGGUUAGAAUAUGUAGUGUAGCGGUGAAAUGCUUAGAUAUUACAUGGAAUACCAAUUGCGAAGGCAGAUCACUAACAGUAUAUUGACGCUGAUGGACGAAAGCGUGGGGAGCAAACAGGAUUAGAUACCCGUGUA
This 269-nucleotide ribosomal RNA is filed under the name uncultured prokaryote. Its description in RNAcentral is "partial 16S ribosomal RNA". It matches the Rfam family "Bacterial small subunit ribosomal RNA", at positions 524 to 792 of the family's 1533-position model. The record is from RNAcentral.